CCUACGGGAGGCAGCAGUAGGGAAUCUUCCGCAAUGGACGAAAGUCUGACGGAGCAACGCCGCGUGAACGAAGAAGGCCUUCGGGUCGUAAAGUUCUGUUGUUAGGGAAGAACAAGUACCAGAGUAACUGCUGGUACCUUGACGGUACCUAACCAGAAAGCCACGGCUAACUACGUGCCAGCAGCCGCGGUAAUACGUAGGUGGCAAGCGUUGUCCGGAAUUAUUGGGCGUAAAGCGCGCGCAGGUGGUUCCUUAAGUCUGAUGUGAAAGCCCACGGCUCAACCGUGGAGGGUCAUUGGAAACUGGGGAACUUGAGUGCAGAAGAGGAAAGUGGAAUUCCAAGUGUAGCGGUGAAAUGCGUAGAGAUUUGGAGGAACACCAGUGGCGAAGGCGACUUUCUGGUCUGUAACUGACACUGAGGCGCGAAAGCGUGGGGAGCAAACAGGAUUAGAUACCCUGGUAGUCCACGCCGUAAACGAUGAGUGCUAAGUGUUAGAGGGUUUCCGCCCUUUAGUGCUGCNGCUACGACAUAAGUACACUCCGCCGUCGGGAGGUACGGCCGCGAGGCGUGAACGUACGAAGGAAAGUUAGUACGGCGUGAGACGUGCCGACGGACGACGACGAGGGAGGAGG
Molecule: ribosomal RNA, 633 nt
Filed under: uncultured bacterium
Lineage: Bacteria
Description: bacterial SSU rRNA
Rfam family: Bacterial small subunit ribosomal RNA (bases 1-545)
Source: RNAcentral